GAACAUUAAUCCUGGGCCUGCCUUGGCCUCUUCAGAAAAGCCCUGGAAACCAGAUGGAUGUUCUGCCUGCACUGGAAUCUGGCCACUUCCUUCAGUGUAAAGGAGGGCUUCUUCUACCUAUGUACCUCAAAGAAGAGCUUGUGUGUCUGCGUGACUUGGCUUUGAAUCCCUUGUGUCCAACUUCCUUGUUCAGGACCCAUCUCUACUGCCUGCUGCUGUGUAUCUUUAAAAGGAUAACUCAGCUUUUCUAGUGUCCUCAUGUGUGAAGCAAGAGUACUGCACAGCCGGGUGGGUGUUCUGAGCUCCAGUACGCCGAGUUCCUAAAACGGCAACGAUGCUGGAUGUAUUUCUGAAUGUGAGUGACUUGUAUCAGUGACACAUUGAUAGCCAGUGGCAGAAGACACAGCCCAGGGUCAUUCCCAGCACCCCUGCUCAUCUAAGGAGCACCCACAAAGGCCAGACAUCCUGUGGACAGACCACAUCUUCCCUCAGAAUUCAAAACGGUUGCAGUUCCUGCUUGCAGGUUGGAUCUGAAACCCAGAAGCCAUGAACUAACUCCCUUGAUAGUGUCACAUUGGAACCGCUGAAAGGAAAGUGCUGUGGCCCCCAUCAUCGCCCUGUGUCUGCUAGAAAUGGACACAACCUACUAGGCUAUGAAUGCCAGGAGACACGAUCCUAUGGAAGAGCAUUUGAGAUGGGUAAGCCUGGAUUGUCUCAAGGAGUCCUUCCUUCUGCCUCUGGAGAAAUACUUAAACAGGAUCAGGAAGGUAAGAUGAAGGAGGGAGAACAGGAUCAGCUGCAGAUGUCAGUCCAGAGCGUGACAGGGGAGACAAGGGGGUAAAGCUCUCUGCAGAUGUGAGGUUAGGGUUCUUCAGCCUGAUCACCCAGGGCAGAGAAAGCUGGGCAGCUUAUGUGUUCCCGAGAGUCACUCUUCACCCUGCAGGGAGAAGCAAACUGACUUCACCUCACAACCCAGGCUUCUGCACAAGCUUGCACAGAUACAAGUGCACCAACAGCAACAACACACACACAACACACACACGACCACACACACACACACGUCAUGUGUUAGGAUUUACCAUGGUAAAGGAGAGGUGACACAGCCCUCACCCUGAUGGACACACAGGCCUACUCCCCAUCAAUUCCCAUGGCUACUAUGCUAGCUCUGCUUGAAGCAUGUCCCACUCCCACCUCCCAUAGAACUGAGGAAGGAACUCCAAGCCUCCAGCUUGCUAAGCAAGCUCUCUGCCACUAAUCCACAGCCCAGCCCUUCAGUUGUGCAUCUCUCUUUGUGAUGACAAGGACCUCCAGACCUAUAGGGACCAAUUAAGCAAAAUAUUUUGUAGUUAAAUGUCACAGUUGGGCAAUGUAGAAGGAAGUUCCAACGGUAAAGGAAGCCAUGCCCCUGGUGCCCUCCGGUGGACAGUGUGGCCUGGCUCCUCUCCAGUUCCUCCAAGACGGGGCUGCAAAGGGAUCUGCUGGAAGCUGACCAACUUUGUUGGACUCCGUUCCACCUGAUGUUCAGGGAACCUAAAUGAGAAAGAUGUCCUUGCCUUUGAGACAUCACGGUCUCUCAGACCACAGCGCUGUCUAGUCUGGGUUGCGUGCCUGUCCUGGUAUCCUGAUAAUAACUUAAAUAAGAUCAUCAAACCACCCUGGACACCCAGUCGCCAGAUUCUUCACUAUGUCUACAACCUGCACGAGUCACUCUCUGCUCCCUGUUCUCAUCCUUGUAUUGAUUUCUGUCUUUCUUGAUUUUACAGCUGCAGCUCAGAGAUGGCAUGAUUCCCAUCACACCAUAUAUAAAUGCGGGUGAUUGCCUUAGAUUUAUUUGAAAUACAUACGUAAUGUCACACAUUCAAAUUUUGCAAGAGUCUACACUGAAAGCACAUCUUCCCACCAUCACGCCCCCUGUACCCUAGUCACCUCAGGGGCAACCUGUUGUUACAUUUUUGUCAAUUUUUUUCUACAUAUAUUUUAUGCAUAUAGCAGUUUGGUUUUGCUUUUUUUUUUUUUUAACACACAAAGGGUAGAUGCUACACACUGUUGGCGACCUCAUUCUCUUGGAGCAUCCUCUGCAUAGACUAACCAUGUGAGCUUUGCCCACUACUAAUGUGAGAUGUCUGCCAUUACAAACACAAUGCAGUGAGUGAGUUUCCCUGUCCCUGCGCCUUCCACAUAGUACAGCUGCUGAGUUAAAGGGGAUAUGAUUUGUGGUUUUGACAGAUGUUAUUAAACUUCCCUUUUAUCAUUGUAUCAAUUAACCCUCCCAUGAACAAAGACUGGAACCUGGGACAUCCUGACUCUAAAACCAGGGACACCGUAGCUCCUGCCCUUGCCAAGCCCUUGAACUCAUGACUGGGGCUUCACUGACUGUGAAGCCCCACACAGGGGCCGGUGGAACAAAGCAAAGCCCGCGAGUCUCCUCCCCCAGAGCCUUGGAUUCUGGGUGUCUGAGAACCCCAGCUAACUCCCAGUCUGCAUCUGGAGGAGAUGGGAAACUGGGAUUCUGCAGUCAAGGUGGAGCCUUACAGAUGUGUCUGUGAGCACAGGGAGGCAGGAAAACCGGUGGCCAGCUCUGACGUGCAAGGCAUCUAGCCCACUGGCAGGUGUGUCAGUUCAGGUAAAGGCGCUGCAGAGCUCCAUGGGUCAAGUGUUCUUACCUCCAUAACACCUCUAAUACCAGCACGUGGGAAGCUGAAGCAGGGGGUUCAAUCUCCAAUGCUCUAAAGCAAACACAUAGCCCACUUAGUUCUCGGUUAGUUGUCCCUACUGACGUGUCUGUGAACGGAGCAAACACAUAGCCCACUUAGUUCUCGGUUAGUUGUCCCUACUGACGUGUCUGUGAACGGAGCAAUGGUAAAUUUGAGGUUCAGCUCAGAAGACUAGUAUGAGCUGUUCUGGAUAUUUUUAUAUCACCUGGACACAAAGCUAGAAUCACCUGAGAGAAGGGAACCUCAGUUAAGAAAAUGCCUUCAUUCUUAAUUAGUAGUUGACGUGGGAGGACCCAGCCCAUUGUGAAUGGGCCUGCUCCUGGAUUGGUGGUCCUGAGUUCUAUCAGAAAGCAGGCUGAGCAAGCCAUGUGGCCAGUAAGCAGCACCCCUCCGUAGCCUCUGCAUCAGCUUGUCUCCAGGUUCCUGCCCUGUUCGACUUCCUGUCCUGAUUUGCUUCAGUUAUGAACAGUGAUGUCAAAUUAUAAGCCAAAGAAACCUUUUCCUCCUGUCUUAGUCAGGGUUUCAAUUCCUGCACAAACAUCAUGACCAAGAAACAAGUUGGGGAGGAAAGGGUUUAUUCAGCUUACAAUUCCAUACUGCUGUUCAUCACCAAGGAAGCCAGGACUGGAACUCAAGCAGGUCAGGAAGCAGGAGCUGAUGCAGAGGCCAUGCAGGGAUGUUCUUUACUGGCUUGCUUCCCCUGGCUUGCUCAGCCUGUUCUCUUAUAGAACCAAGACUACCAGCCCAGAGAUGGCCCCACCUACAAGGGGCCUCUCCCCCUUGAUCACUAAUUGAGAAAAUGCCUUACAGUUGGAUCUCAUGGAGGCAUUUCCCCCAACUGAAGCUCCUUUAUCUGUGAUAACCCCAGCCUGUGUCAAGUUGACACAAAACUAGCCAGUAACACCUCCCCAACUUGCUUUUCGGUCAUGGUUUCAUCCCAGCAAUAGAACCCUAACUAAGAAGACCUGAGUGGCAUUGGAGAGGAAAGGACUCUAUCUGUAUCUUAAACUAAAGCUGGACAGCACACAGGGGUCCAACACAGGACCUGUUGACUGUUGUACAUGUCUAUCAGUUUUUGAAAUAAAGAGGAGCAGAAGAGAGAGAAGCCUUGCUAGAUGAGGCAGAGUGAGGAUCAAAGAAAGGCCCAGAGCUCCCAUCAAGCCAUGAAAUGCAAGAAACUUCAGCCGCAGGAUCCUAGGUGGACACCAGAGUCUGGGACAGCAAGUCCCCCUGAAGCAGCCUCCACGGAAGGAACCUCUGUUCUUGUCAGUGCUGUAGUCUGGCUGGACUGGGCAGUGUCAGAAACGCGAUUUCCAUCAGAGGAGCCUGUUCAUUCUUGCCCUACAUCAUUGUUGGGAUCAUAAUAAAAAGACUGGCAGCUUUGACACACUAAGCCAGUUCAAUCUUUAUUAAAAUCUUCCUUUUUCUUC
RNAcentral lists this long non-coding RNA (4144 nucleotides) under Mus musculus (house mouse). RNAcentral describes it as "long non-coding RNA chr14:47116295-47120439". Lineage: Eukaryota; Metazoa; Chordata; Mammalia; Rodentia; Muridae. The record is from RNAcentral.